UGAGGAAUAUUGGUCAAUGGACGAGAGUCUGAACCAGCCAAGUCGCGUGAGGGAAGACUGCCCUAUGGGUUGUAAACCUCUUUUAUAAGGGAAGAAUAAGUUCUACGUGUAGAAUGAUGCCUGUACCUUAUGAAUAAGCAUCGGCUAACUCCGUGCCAGCAGCCGCGGUAAUACGGAGGAUGCGAGCGUUAUCCGGAUUUAUUGGGUUUAAAGGGUGCGUAGGCGGUUUAUUAAGUUAGUGGUUAAAUAUUUGAGCUAAACUCAAUUGUGCCAUUAAUACUGGUAAACUGGAGUACAGACGAGGUAGGCGGAAUAAGUUAAGUAGCGGUGAAAUGCAUAGAUAUAACUUAGAACUCCGAUAGCGAAGGCAGCUUACCAGACUGUAACUGACGCUGAUGCACGAGAGCGUGGGUAGCGAACAGGAUUAGAUACCCUGGUAGUCCACGCCGUAAACGAUGCUCACUGGUUCUGUGCGAUAUAUUGUACGGGAUUAAGCGAAAGUAUUAAGUGAGCCACCUGGGGAGUACGUCGGCAACGAUGAAACUCAAAGGAAUUGACGGGGGCCCGCACAAGCGGAGGAACAUGUGGUUUAAUUCGAUGAUACGCGAGGAACCUUACCUGGGUUUAAAUGGGAAAUGUCGUAUUUGGAAACAGAUAUUCUCUUCGGAGCGUUUUUCAAGGUGCUGCAUGGUUGUCGUCAGCUCGUGCCGUGAGGUGUCGGGUUAAGUCCCAUAACGAGCGCAACCCUUACCGUUAGUUGCUAGCAUGUAAUGAUGAGCACUCUAACGGGACUGCCACCGUAAGGUGAGAGGAAGGCGGGGAUGACGUCAAAUCAGCACGGCCCUUACACCCAGGGCUACACACGUGUUACAAUGGCCGGUACAGAGGGCCGCUACCAGGUGACUGGAUGCCAAUCUCAAAAGCCGGUCGUAGUUCGGAUUGGAGUCUGUAACCCGACUCCAUGAAGUUGGAUUCGCUAGUAAUCGCGCAUCAGCCAUGG
Molecule: ribosomal RNA, 1000 nt
Filed under: human gut metagenome
Description: bacterial SSU rRNA
Rfam family: Bacterial small subunit ribosomal RNA
Source: RNAcentral